CUACGGAGUACAACGACUUUUCAAUAGUAAAAGUCCAACGACAUACAAGAAUGACUAUUUUAAUUUUAUAAACCGUCAUGUGCUUUUGUUAAUAGUCCAAAAGUGUAUAUCUAGUUUUGAGGGAACAUAAAUCUCUCAUGUUCUUUGAAAACUGAAUAGUUAAUUAAAAUAUUUUAAUAUAACAACGACAUCAAAAUAAGUAAAUAAAGAUAAUAAAGUCUUAUUUGUUUUGAAAACCGAGUUAAUUAUUGAAUGAUACAUUUAAUAAUUCAUUAAAAUGUCUUAAAAUACAUCAACAAUAGGUAAAUAUUGUA
RNAcentral lists this unclassified non-coding RNA (314 nucleotides) under Mycoplasma sp. RNAcentral describes it as "16S-23S ribosomal RNA intergenic spacer". The record is from RNAcentral. Lineage: Bacteria; Bacillati; Mycoplasmatota; Mollicutes; Mycoplasmatales; Mycoplasmataceae.